CCGUAGCCCAAGAGAUCGGGAUAACACAUGGAAACAGAUGCUAAUACCGGAUAACAACAGAUGAUGCCUAUCAACUGUUUAAAAGAUGGUUCUGCUAUCACUCUUGGAUGGACCUGCGGUGCAUUAGCUAGUUGGUAGGGUAACGGCCUACCAAGGCGAUGAUGCAUAGCCGAGUUGAGAGACUGAUCGGCCACAUUGGGACUGAGACACGGCCCAAACUCCUACGGGAGGCAGCAGGA
RNAcentral lists this ribosomal RNA (239 nucleotides) under uncultured Lactobacillus sp. Its description in RNAcentral is "partial 16S ribosomal RNA". It matches the Rfam family "Bacterial small subunit ribosomal RNA", at positions 125 to 354 of the family's 1533-position model. The record is from RNAcentral. Lineage: Bacteria; Bacillati; Bacillota; Bacilli; Lactobacillales; Lactobacillaceae.